RNAcentral lists this ribosomal RNA (761 nucleotides) under uncultured archaeon. Its description in RNAcentral is "bacterial SSU rRNA". It matches the Rfam family "Archaeal small subunit ribosomal RNA", at positions 102 to 859 of the family's 1478-position model. The record is from RNAcentral.
GGAAAACCUGCCCUUGGGUCNGGCAUAACCCCGGGGAAACUGGGAAUAAUUCCGGGAUAACGCACAUAUGCUGGAAUGCUUUAUGCGUAAAAUGNAUUCGUCUGCCCAAGNAUGGGUCUGCGGCCUAUCAGGUGGUAGUGGGUGUAAUGUACCUACUAGCCUACAACGGGUACGGGUUGUGAGAGCAAGAGCCCGGAGAUGGAUUCUGAGACAUGAAUCCAGGCCNUACGGGGCGCAGCAGGCGCGAAAACUUUACAAUGCGGGAAACCGUGAUAAGGGGACACCGAGUGCCAGCAUCAUAUGCUGGCUGUCCAGGUGUGUAAAAUACACCUGUCAGCAAGGGCCGGGCAAGACCGGUGCCAGCCGCCGCGGUAACACCGGCGGCCCGAGUGGUGAUCGUGAUUAUUGGGUCUAAAGGGUCCGUAGCCGGUUUGGUCAGUCCUCCGGGAAAUCUGACGGCUCAACCGUUAGGCUUUCGGGGGAUACUGCCAGGCUUGGAACCGGGAGAGGUAAGAGGUACUACAGGGGUAGGAGUGAAAUCUUGUAAUCCCUGUGGGACCACCUGUGGCGAAGGCGUCUUACCAGAACGGGUUCGACGGUGAGGGACGAAAGCUGGGGGCACGAACCGGAUUAGAUACCCGGGUAGUCCCAGCCGUAAACGAUGCUCGCUAGGUGUCAGGCAUGGCGCGACCGUGUCUGGUGCCGCAGGGAAGCCGUGAAGCGAGCCACCUGGGAAGUACGGCCGCAAGGCUGAAACUUAA